RNAcentral lists this transfer RNA (76 nucleotides) under Clostridiales bacterium. RNAcentral describes it as "tRNA-Glu". It matches the Rfam family "tRNA". Rfam says of the family: Transfer RNA (tRNA) molecules are approximately 80 nucleotides in length. Their secondary structure includes four short double-helical elements and three loops (D, anti-codon, and T loops). Further hydrogen bonds mediate the characteristic L-shaped molecular structure. tRNAs have two regions of fundamental functional importance: the anti-codon, which is responsible for specific mRNA codon recognition, and the 3' end, to which the tRNAs corresponding amino acid is attached (by aminoacyl-tRNA synthetases). tRNAs cope with the degeneracy of the genetic code in two manners: having more than one tRNA (with a specific anti-codon) for a particular amino acid; and 'wobble' base-pairing, i.e. permitting non-standard base-pairing at the 3rd anti-codon position. Lineage: Bacteria; Bacillati; Bacillota; Clostridia; Eubacteriales. The record is from RNAcentral.
GGCCCGUUGGUCUAGCGGUGAGGACGCCGCCCUCUCAAGGCGGAAACCACGGGUUCGAAUCCCGUACGGGCUACCA